GAUGAACGCUGGCGGCGUGCCUAAUACAUGCAAGUCGAGCGAACGGACGAGAAGCUUGCUUCUCUGAUGUUAGCGGCGGACGGGUGAGUAACACGUGGAUAACCUACCUAUAAGACUGGGAUAACUUCGGGAAACCGUAGCUAAUACCGGAUAAUAUUUUGAACCGCAUGGUUCAAAAGUGAAAGACGGUCUUGCUGUCACUUAUAGAUGGAUCCGCGCUGCAUUAGCUAGUUGGUAAGGUAACGGCUUACCAAGGCAACGAUGCAUAGCCGACCUGAGAGGGUGAUCGGCCACACUGGAACUGAGACACGGUCCAGACUCCGACGGGAGGCAGCAGUAGGGAAUCUUCCGAAAUGGGCGGAAGCCUGACGGAGCAACGCCGCGUGAGUGAUGAAGGGCUGCGGAUCGUAAAACUCUGUUAUGAGGGAAGAACAUAUGUGUAAGUAACUGUGCACAUCUUGACGGUACCUAAUCAGAAAGCCACGGCUAACUACGU
Molecule: ribosomal RNA, 496 nt
Filed under: uncultured bacterium
Lineage: Bacteria
Description: partial 16S ribosomal RNA
Rfam family: Bacterial small subunit ribosomal RNA
Source: RNAcentral